UAGGGAAUCUUCCACAAUGGACGCAAGUCUGAUGGAGCAACGCCGCGUGAGUGAAGAAGGUUUUCGGAUCGUAAAGCUCUGUUGUUGGUGAAGAAGGAUAGAGGUAGUAACUGGCCUUUAUUUGACGGUAAUCAACCAGAAAGUCACGGCUAACUACGUGCCAGCAGCCGCGGUAAUACGUAGGUGGCAAGCGUUGUCCGGAUUUAUUGGGCGUAAAGCGAGCGCAGGCGGAAGAAUAAGUCUGAUGUGAAAGCCCUCGGCUGAACCGAGGAACUGCAUCGGAAACUGUUUUUCUUGAGUGCAGAAGAGGAGAGUAGAAUUCCAUGUGUAGCGGUGGAAUGCGUAGAUAUAUGGAAGAACACCAGUGGCGAAGGCGACUCUCUGGUCUGCAACUGACGCUGAGGCUCGAAAGCAUGGGUAGCGAACAGG
This 429-nucleotide ribosomal RNA is filed under the name bacterium. RNAcentral's name for it is "partial 16S ribosomal RNA". It matches the Rfam family "Bacterial small subunit ribosomal RNA", at positions 355 to 776 of the family's 1533-position model. The record is from RNAcentral.